CCUACGGGAGGCAGCAGUAGGGAAUCUUCCACAAUGGGCGAAAGCCUGAUGGAGCAACGCCGCGUGGGUGAAGAAGGUCUUCGGAUCGUAAAACCCUGUUGUUAGAGAAGAAAGUGCGUGAGAGUAACUGUUCACGUUUCGACGGUAUCUAACCAGAAAGCAACGGCUAACUACGUGCCAGCAGCCGCGGUAAUACGUAGGUGGCAAACGUUAUCCGGAUUUAUUGGGCGUAAAGGGAACGCAGGCGGUCUUUUAAGUCUGAUGUGAAAUCCUUCGGCUUAACCGGAGUAGUGCAUUGGAUACUGGGAGACUUGAGUGCAGAAGAGGGGAGUGGAAUUCCAGGUGUAGCGGUGAAAUGCGUAGAGAUAUGGAAGAACACCAGUGGCGAAGGCGGCUCUCUGGACUGUGACGGACGCUGAGGUGCGAAAGCGUGGGUAGCAAACAGGAUUAGAUACCCGGGUAGUC
Molecule: ribosomal RNA, 465 nt
Filed under: uncultured bacterium
Lineage: Bacteria
Description: partial 16S ribosomal RNA
Rfam family: Bacterial small subunit ribosomal RNA
Source: RNAcentral